UACGUAGGGUGCGAGCGUUAAUCGGGAUUACUGGGCGUAAAGCGUGCGCAGGCGGCGCCGCAAGUCAGGCGUGAAAUCCCCGAGCUUAACUUGGGAAUGGCGCUUGAAACUACGGUGCUGGAGUGUGGCAGAGGGAGGUGGAAUUCCACGUGUAGCGGUGAAAUGCGUAGAGAUGUGGAGGAACACCGAUGGCGAAGGCAGCCUCCUGGGCCAACACUGACGCUCAUGCACGAAAGCGUGGGGAGCAAACAGG
This 253-nucleotide ribosomal RNA is filed under the name uncultured bacterium. Its description in RNAcentral is "partial 16S ribosomal RNA". It matches the Rfam family "Bacterial small subunit ribosomal RNA", at positions 524 to 776 of the family's 1533-position model. The record is from RNAcentral.